CGAGAACUCAAUUGGACUUGCCACAUCCAAAAACUGGAGGUGAGAAAACUAAUAUUAAAGCCUUACGAGGUUCCGAUCGGCAUUCCGGGUGAUGAAUGUCUAUCGGGACAUCGCGGCGGUUGUCACGAGUUCGAGGAGAGUACCGGGUCGUGACAGCCAACUCAACCCAAAGCCCCCUUUCAAGCUCCCAAGACCCCAUUUUACAAGGAUUCAACCUUCCAAACUCCAAUCUAAGGUUGUGUUGAGCUCAUGAAUCAUAGAACGGGUGAGGUUUGACGAAGUAAGGCUUAGAAGCAUGCUUUUGUAAAGGUGAGUGAAUAUACCACUUUCAAGCUAUUUUAGUAUGUAAAGCUAAAAGCAUGAUUUCAAUGAUUUGAAGGUGAAUAUGUUUUAUCAAUACUAUUUGUUAAUGCAAAUGAGUUGUGAUU
RNAcentral lists this small RNA (428 nucleotides) under Theobroma cacao (cacao). RNAcentral's name for it is "sRNA Tc05v2_g009920". Lineage: Eukaryota; Viridiplantae; Streptophyta; Magnoliopsida; Malvales; Malvaceae. The record is from RNAcentral.